Molecule: ribosomal RNA, 411 nt
Filed under: uncultured bacterium
Lineage: Bacteria
Description: bacterial SSU rRNA
Rfam family: Bacterial small subunit ribosomal RNA
Source: RNAcentral
GUGCCAGCAGCCGCCGCGGUAAUACGGAGGGUGCAAGCGUUAUCCGGAUUCAUUGGGUUUAAAGGGUGCGCAGGCGGAUAAUUAAGUCAGUGGUGAAAUCCCGGGGCUCAACCUCGGAACUGCCAUUGAUACUGAUAAUCUGGAAUACGGUUGAAGUGGGCGGAAUGUAGCAUGUAGCGGUGAAAUGCAUAGAGAUGCUACAGAACACCGAUCGCGAAGGCAGCUCACUAAGCCGAUAUUGACGCUCAGGCACGAAAGCGUGGGGAGCGAACAGGAUUAGAUACCCUGGUAGUCCACGCCGUAAACGAUGAUAACUCGUUGUUGGCGAUAUACAGUCAGCGACUAAGCGAAAGCGAUAAGUUAUCCACCUGGGGAGUACGAUCGCAAGGUUGAAACUUAAGGAAUUGACGG